This 254-nucleotide long non-coding RNA is filed under the name Elaeis guineensis (African oil palm). RNAcentral's name for it is "long non-coding RNA (EGUI_LNC041037)". Lineage: Eukaryota; Viridiplantae; Streptophyta; Magnoliopsida; Arecales; Arecaceae. The record is from RNAcentral.
AGGUGGUCGACUGGCCUGAUUGAUCAGACUCAAUCGUUGGGCUCGGUCUAGAGUGGUCGAUCGAUGCACUGAGGUGGUCGACUGCAAUGGCACGCUUUCGAGCCAUCAAGAUCGAUUGACCUAAGCAACUAGACUGGACUGCUGGGCUCGAUCUGAGGUGAUCGACCGCCUGACGCACUAGUCGAUCGCCUCAAAUAGAGCCCAAUGGUCUAGCCUGGUUGCUCAAGCCGGUCGACCAAGUUGGCCAGUCGACC